This 377-nucleotide ribosomal RNA is filed under the name uncultured delta proteobacterium. RNAcentral's name for it is "bacterial SSU rRNA". It matches the Rfam family "Bacterial small subunit ribosomal RNA", at positions 521 to 896 of the family's 1533-position model. Lineage: Bacteria; Deltaproteobacteria. The record is from RNAcentral.
UAAUACGGAGAGUGCGAGCGUUGUUCGGAAUUAUUGGGCGUAAAGGGCGUCUAGGUGGUUUGUCAAGUCAGAUGUGAAAUCCCUCGGCUCAACCGAGGACGUGCAUUUGAAACUGAUCAACUUGAGUACCUGAGAGGGCAGCGGAAUUCCUGGUGUAGAGGUGAAAUUCGUAGAUAUCAGGAGGAACACCAGCGGCGAAGGCGGCUGCCUGGCAGGAUACUGACACUGAAGCGCGAAAGCGUGGGGAGCAAACAGGAUUAGAUACCCUGGUAGUCCACGCCGUAAACGAUGGGUACUAGCUGUAUCGGGAAUUGACCCCCGGUGUGGCGCAGCUAACGCGUUAAGUACCCCGCCUGGGGAGUACGGCCGCAAGGCUA